GGUCAAGCGAUUAAGCGCACACGGUGGAUGCCUAGGCAGCCAGAGGCGAUGAAAGACGUGGAAGCCUGCGAUAAGGCUCGGCGAGGUGGCAAACAACCUGUGACCCGGGCAUUUCUGAAUGGGGAAACCCACCCAGCAUAAGCUGGGUAUCCCACACUGAAUCCAUAGGUGUUGGGAGGCGAACCAGGGGAACUGAAACAUCUAAGUACCCUGAGGAAAAGAAAUCAACCGAGAUUCCCCUAGUAGCGGCGAGCGAACGGGGACCAGCCCUUAAGCGUGUGACUGAUUAGGCGAAGGCAUUGGGAAAUGCCGCCAUAGUGGGUGAUAGCCCCGUAGCCGAAAAUCUGAUCGCGUGAAAUCGAGUAGGUCGGGGCACGUGAAACCUUGACUGAAGACGGGGGGACCAUCCUCCAAGGCUAAAUACUCCUGGCUGACCGAUAGUGAACCAGUACCGUGAGGGAAAGGCGAAAAGAACCCCGGAGAGGGGAGUGAAAUAGAUCCUGAAACCGUGUGCGUACAAGCAGUGGGAGCAGACUCGUUCUGUGACCGCGUACCUUUUGUAUAAUGGGUCAGCGACUUAUAUUCAGUGGCGAGCUUAACCGUAUAGGGGAGGCGUAGGGAAACCGAGUCUUAACUGGGCGACCAGUCGCUGGAUAUAGACCCGAAACCGGGCGAUCUAUCCAUGAGCAGGUUGAAGGUUGAGUAACAUCAACUGGAGGACCGAACCAGGAUCUGUUGAAAAAGAUUUGGAUGACUUGUGGAUCGGAGUGAAAGGCUAAUCAAGCCCGGAGAUAGCUGGUUCUCCUCGAAAGCUAUUUAGGUAGCGCCUCACGUAUCACCGCCGGGGGUAGAGCACUGUUUCGGCUAGGGGGUCAUCCCGACUUACCAACCCGAGGCAAACUCCGAAUACCGGUGAGUGCAAGCGUGGGAGACACACAGCGGGUGCUAACGUCCGUUGUGAAAAGGGAAACAACCCAGACCGUCAGCUAAGGUCCCGAAAUCCUGGUUAAGUGGGAAACGAUGUGGGAAGGCUCAGACAGCUAGGAGGUUGGCUUAGAAGCAGCCAUCCUUUAAAGAAAGCGUAAUAGCUCACUAGUCGAGUCGGCCUGCGCGGAAGAUGUAACGGGGCUAAACCAGGUACCGAAGCUACGGGUUCACACUUAGGUGUGAGCGGUAGAGGAGCGUCGUGUAAGCCAAUGAAGGUGGAUUGAGAAGUCUGCUGGAGGUAUCACGAGUGCGAAUGCUGACAUGAGUAACGACAAGGGGAGUGAAAAACUCCCCCGCCGGAAGACCAAGGGUUUCUGUUCGAUGCUAAUCAGAGCAGAGUGAGUCGGCCCCUAAGGCGAGGCCGAAAGGCGUAGUCGAUGGGAAACGGGUCAAUAUUCCCGUACCUGACAUGGUUGCGAUGGGGGGACGAAGAAGGCUAGGUGAGCCAGGCGUUGGUAGUCCUGGUGAAAGUCGGUAGGCUGAGGGUUCAGGCAAAUCCGGAUCCUCAAGGCCGAGAGACGAGACGAACAGACCACGGUCUGGAAGUCACUGAUGCCACGCUUCCAGGAAAAGCCUCUAAGCUUCAGGCCAUGUGAGACCGUACCCCAAACCGACACAGGUGGUCAGGGUGAGAAUCCUAAGGCGCUUGAGAGAACUCGGGUGAAGGAACUAGGCAAAAUGGUGCCGUAACUUCGGGAGAAGGCACGCCGCAUUAGUGUGAAGGGACUUGCUCCCCGAGCACGAAGCGGUCGAAGAUACCAGGUGGCUGCAACUGUUUAUUAAAAACACAGCACUCUGCAAACGCGUAAGCGGACGUAUAGGGUGUGACGCCUGCCCGGUGCCGGAAGGUUAAUUGAUGGUGUUAGCCGCAAGGCGAAGCUCUUGAUCGAAGCCCCGGUAAACGGCGGCCGUAACUAUAACGGUCCUAAGGUAGCGAAAUUCCUUGUCGGGUAAGUUCCGACCUGCACGAAUGGCGUAA
RNAcentral lists this ribosomal RNA (1966 nucleotides) under Franzmannia qiaohouensis. RNAcentral's name for it is "partial 23S ribosomal RNA". It matches the Rfam family "Bacterial large subunit ribosomal RNA", at positions 1 to 2004 of the family's 2925-position model. Lineage: Bacteria; Pseudomonadati; Pseudomonadota; Gammaproteobacteria; Oceanospirillales; Halomonadaceae. The record is from RNAcentral.